This is a long non-coding RNA of Cebus imitator (Panamanian white-faced capuchin), 599 nucleotides long. RefSeq lists it as uncharacterized. NCBI's taxonomy places the organism in Eukaryota, Metazoa, Chordata, Mammalia, Primates, Cebidae. The transcript is spliced from 2 exons. The record is from RefSeq and is a predicted model, not a curated record.
ACACUGCAUUUUGUCUGGUUCCUUGUCUGUCUCUCCCAACUGGGCUGUGAAUGUCUCGCUGGCAGGGCCUGGCCUUCCUGCUUGCAUCCCGGGCACCUGGCUGGGCACCUGGCCCUCUAGAGAUGCUCAGUGAUUGAAUCACACACUGCCCUGCCACGUGCUCUAGGAGAUUGGCCUCAUGCUCCACAUCACCCCCACUCCCUUCCCCUCUGGCUCCAAGCUGGGUUCAGCCAACAGGAGACAGCAGCAGAAGAGGGGAGGCUGGGAGGAGAGGCUGGGAUCCGUCUCCUCUACUCUCUCCCCAUCUCAAUGCCUCCAAGACUGCAGCUCCCACUGGGCAGCCUCCCCCAGACUCUGUGACCACCAUUUUUUGCCGUGACCCCCUUGGUCCUAAGGGUGGUAACAGCUUCCUGCUAUUGCCAGCUCCUGGGUGCCUCAGCAUCUUUUGUUGGUUCCCCUAAACUUGUCCACAACUCUGUAAAUCAUCCUUUACUAAAUAGCCCUUCAUCUGAAGCGUCAGUAUGAAUGCCGUUUCCUGCCAGGACUCUGCCCAAUGCACAUGUUAAGUGAAAAAGAAGAAUACAGAACUUUGUAUUUUU